AACACUGUUAACCUGCGGUACCUGCGGAGGGAUCAUUACCGAGUUUACAACUCCCAAACCCCUGUGAACAUACCUAUACGUUGCCUCGGCGGAUCAGCCCGCGCCCUGUAAAAAGGGACGGCCCGCCCGAGGACCCUAAACUCUGUUUUUAGUGGAACUUCUGAGUAAAACAAACAAAUAAAUCAAAACUUUUAACAAUGGAUCU
Molecule: unclassified non-coding RNA, 205 nt
Filed under: soil metagenome
Description: partial contains 5.8S ribosomal RNA, internal transcribed spacer 2, and large subunit ribosomal RNA
Source: RNAcentral